UACGUAGGUCCCGAGCGUUGUCCGGAUUUAUUGGGCGUAAAGCGAGCGCAGGUGGUUUAUUAAGUCUGGUGUAAAAGGCAGUGGCUCAACCAUUGUAUGCAUUGGAAACUGGUAGACUUGAGUGCAGGAGAGGAGAGUGGAAUUCCACGUGUAGCGGUGAAAUGCGUAGAUAUAUGGAGGAACACCGGUGGCGAAAGCGGCUCUCUGGCCUGUAACUGACGCUGAUGCUCGAAAGUGUGGGUAUCAAACAGG
Molecule: ribosomal RNA, 252 nt
Filed under: uncultured bacterium
Lineage: Bacteria
Description: partial 16S ribosomal RNA
Rfam family: Bacterial small subunit ribosomal RNA
Source: RNAcentral